AGGUAGUGACAAUAAAUCACAAUGCGGGACUAUCAGUCUUGCAAUUGGAUUGAGAACAAUGUACAACUCUUAUCGAUAAGCCAUUGGAGGGCAAGUCUGGUGCCAGCAGCCGCGGUAAUUCCAGCUCCAAUAGCGUAUAUUAACGUUGUUGCAGUUAAAAAGCUCGUAGUUGAAGUGUGGGUGGUGCCAUCUGUGAAGCUUCGGCUUCUAGGAUACUCACUACCCCCUUCCAGUAUCCAGUAGUGGGUAUUCAGUUACUUACUACUGUGUGUUGGUCGUUUACUGUGAGAAAAUUAGAGUGUUCAAAGCAGGCGUUUGCUUGAAUAGAUUAGCAUGGAAUAAUAAUUGAAGGCUUUCGUGUUCGAUUUGAUUGGUUUGUUCAUGGAAGCAAGGUUAAAAGGAACAGUUGGGGGUAUUCAUAUUCACUAGUUAGAGGUGAAAUUCUCGGAUUUAUGGAAGAUGAACAAGUGCGAAA
RNAcentral lists this ribosomal RNA (475 nucleotides) under Blastocystis sp. Its description in RNAcentral is "SSU rRNA". It matches the Rfam family "Eukaryotic small subunit ribosomal RNA", at positions 462 to 950 of the family's 1831-position model. Lineage: Eukaryota; Bigyra; Opalinata; Blastocystidae. The record is from RNAcentral.